UACAGAGGGUGCGAGCGUUAAUCGGAAUUACUGGGCGGUAAAGCGCGCGUAGGCGGCUUUGCAAGUUCGGGUGUGAAAAUCCCCAGGCUUAACCCUGGGAACUGGCAUUCGAGACUGCAUUGCUAGAGUAUGGGAGAGGGAAGUGGAAUUUCAGGUGUAGCGGUGAAAUGCGUAGAUAUCUGAAGGAACAUCAGUGGCGAAAGCGACUUCCUGGACCAAUACUGACGCUCAUGUGCGAAAGCGUGGGGAGCAAACAGG
RNAcentral lists this ribosomal RNA (258 nucleotides) under uncultured bacterium. RNAcentral describes it as "partial 16S ribosomal RNA". It matches the Rfam family "Bacterial small subunit ribosomal RNA", at positions 524 to 776 of the family's 1533-position model. The record is from RNAcentral.